This 288-nucleotide ribosomal RNA is filed under the name uncultured bacterium. RNAcentral describes it as "partial 16S ribosomal RNA". It matches the Rfam family "Bacterial small subunit ribosomal RNA", at positions 43 to 359 of the family's 1533-position model. The record is from RNAcentral.
UCAGGCCUAACACAUGCAAGUCGAACGGACUCUUCGGAGUUAGUGGCGGACGGGUGAGUAACGCGUGAGAAUCUGCCUUCUGGUCUGGGACAACAGAGGGAAACUUCUGCUAAUCCCGGAUAAGCCUAAGGGUGAAAGAUUAAUUGCCUGGAGAUGAGCUCGCGUCUGAUUAGCUAGUUGGUAAGGUAAAAGCUUACCAAGGCGACGAUCAGUAGCUGGUCUGAGAGGAUGAGCAGCCACACUGGGACUGAGACACGGCCCAGACUCCUACGGGAGGCAGCAGUGGGG